Long non-coding RNA from Temnothorax curvispinosus, 1434 nucleotides. RefSeq lists it as uncharacterized. The record is from RefSeq and is a predicted model, not a curated record. NCBI's taxonomy places the organism in Eukaryota, Metazoa, Arthropoda, Insecta, Hymenoptera, Formicidae. The transcript has 3 exons.
UCUAUACAAAAACUGUGGACACAUAAGUUUUUAUACUUAUAAUGCAUCCACAGUUCGUAGCGUCCGUGUGCGACGGCAACGAGUUUGUAUUCAGAGGUCAAACAUCUACGAGCUCAAAUACAUCACCUUCAGAAGUGAGGCCGGUUAAUGAGAGCCCUCCGCGGACAACGUAACGGCAUGUUUCCUUAUGGAGCAUUUGAUUUAUCAGCCGGUGUACCUCCGUCGUCGGGAAGGGACAAAAUGGAUUUUCUCAACCCUCGUCGAUCACUCCAAGGAACGGAAAAGAGUGGACCAUUUACCGGGCCACUCCUUCAUCAGGAAUAUAUAGACUGAAGCCGCCGGAACGCCGUCGCAUUCGAGUCACGUGCUAGGGAAGGACUCAUUUUAACUACGGUAAAGGCAGUAAUUGAAAGGAAGACCAUCGGCUUUCCACGUCUCUCCCCUGCCCACAUGAAGAAACGAGCUUGGCCCGAUCACUUCCUUACUUAUUCAGAAGAAGCGGUUUCAUUGAUUUUGAUUGCCCCGCAAUCAAUCACAAUGCCCAACAACUAUUCCCGCGGCUGUGUAUUGUUGAUUGAAAAAAAUAAAACGCUCGAACGUGGCAAACAUUAAAACCGUUUUUCAAUUUUAGCGGUUUGUAAACCGAGCGCUUACUGCGAGCAAGAAGCGAAAGAUAAUAUCAUCGCUUUUUGAUAAAAUAUGAUUAAAAAGCAGUUUGCACAUAAAUAUUUUAUUGAUCAUUUAUGUAACUAUAGCUGCAAUGCAAUACUGUCAACAGCUCUUAUAUACCAAAGAUGAAAUUUUUGCGCAGCAUUCUUGCAAAAUUUCGGAUUCUAUUCACAUAGCAGAAAAAUUUUUCUCGCAUUUCUCUCUCAGUUUUCUCGAUAAAAUUCUAUUGUGUAAAUAUUUUUCGCAAUAAAAAAAUUUGAUAACAGCACGCUACUUCAACCAAUCCUCUUUAUUGUUUCUCAUUUUGAAUUGUUGCGCAUAGGUGUGCGCUUUCAUACGCGCACAGUAACAGAUCCGAAAAAUUAUUUUAACACACGGUUAAUUGUACCGCAAGAGAGAAUGUAGAAAAAGAGUAUAUUAUAUUUUGAAGAGUAAAGUAGAGCUCUCAGCUCCUGCGCGUUUUCCACAUUUUCGUUUCAUUACACGAAUUUCCAUUAGUGUUUUAUCAAAACGGAAACGUUACUUUUCUCAGUUCACUCUUGUUAUUAAAAUACGUUGAAGAUCUGAAGAAGAGAAAGGUUUAGAAGUAAUAAAAAAGAUUAAAAAAAAGAAAGAGAAAGGGCAAUAACGGUAAAGUAGGAUAUUAUAAGUACGAGGUAAGAAGACAGAUAUAAAAAUAGGUAUAAUUAAUCAGAAGUUGCAAAGAAUAAAAGUUUAAAGCAUGGCAACAGAAUAUGAUAUAGGUAGAGUGAAGUGAAUAUUACA